CAAGUUUCAUUUUUUAGUGGUUUUGUCCGAAUUAUUCAAGUCAAUACUCGAGACAAAAUAAAGUACACAAGUAAAAGCUGGCAUUCACACUCUGUUUAUGUUUUUUAUAUAGAAAACAAAAAAAGAGAGAAAAAUCUGGGAAAAUUAUAAGAUCGAUUUAGAGUAUCAAUUGAAUAAUUGCCUUGAUUAACACCAUUUGAUUUGGUUAAUUAACUCUACUAAUCAAAUCAAUCGAAU
This is a long non-coding RNA of Arabidopsis thaliana (thale cress), 237 nucleotides long. RefSeq annotates it as other RNA. The transcript has a single exon. Lineage: Eukaryota; Viridiplantae; Streptophyta; Magnoliopsida; Brassicales; Brassicaceae. The record is from RefSeq.